Molecule: RNA transcript, 1361 nt
Organism: Nematostella vectensis (starlet sea anemone)
Lineage: Eukaryota; Metazoa; Cnidaria; Anthozoa; Actiniaria; Edwardsiidae
Gene name: transcription factor sox-3-like
Exons: 1
Source: RefSeq, a predicted model, not a curated record
UUGUCGAGCGUUACACACGAGAAGACAGAGCCUUGUUCCCAAGCAAAGCAGUUGUCAAGAGCCCAUUCACGAAGCAACAUCUGAACAAGAGCGCAACAAGAAGAACGAUACAACAUGAGUACCAAGGACGCAAAUCACGUUAAGAGGCCGAUGAAUGCCUUCAUGGUCUGGUCCAAGGAACGGAGGAGAAUCAAAUCACAAGAAUGUCCGAGAAUGCACAAUUCCGAAAUUAGUAAGAUUCUGGGCUGCGAGUGGAAGGCUAUGAAAGACGAGCUCAAGCAGCCUUACAUCGAGAAAGCCAAGGAAUUACAAGCUCAGCAUAGCCGAGAAAACCCCGGCUACAAGUACAAACCACGCAGGAGAAAACCUAAGCAAACUUUGCUAAAGAAGGCUGCGUAUCCUUUCCCUUACACUCCAACCGAAAUGGCUCCACAUGCGAUGAAGAUGGGUUACGCUGGAGGUAUGCCUACACCGGAGUCUAUGUACCAGCAGUUUUAUCCUAUGCAAGGCCAACCGGCGUAUUCGGUAUAUGAUAUGUCAGGAGUGCAUGCAGCUAGGCAAACAUACGCCGGUCCACCUCCGCCACAUAGUCCACCAGUACACGAACUCGCGUACUCUUCUGUGCGCUCUGCGGACAUGUUAGUCUCGCCGAACGCGCACAUCUAUGGAGGGCCUAUGGACCCUUCGACGCCGACCACCUCGUCCAUGUCAGCUUUCGCAUCUUCUCAACACAUGCAGCAGCCUCACCAGCAACCGGGACAAGAUCACAACUCUGCGCCGUAUCCGCAAGCCCUAUUUACACAGAGACACAUGUGACUUUACGGUAGCUAAUUUGCUUUACUCUUUAAGUUGUGUAACUAACGGUUUUUACAAGACAACUAUGACAUUCUAAUUCAAGUGUCAAGUUCUGUAACUUGACGCUAUUUUGUAUCACUCCGCUAUGCGGACGUCUUUAUCGAAUACCUAGUAUUUAUUGCUAAAUGAGUAGAUAGGGGUCUUCGACGACUCGCCUAACUCGAUACGCUGAUAGGCGUUUUUGUUGAUUCGAUUAACUUUCGCUAACCGCGCGCUCUCUCUGAGAUCAAAUAUUCCCAUUGACGGGACUCGGACAAAUCCAAUCUGUGCAACAACGCUUUUGUGUGAAUUUUCGACAAAUCAGCGUAAUGCUUUUACUCACUUAUUCUCUUAUCUUGACGCCUUCGAUUUCUAAAACUCGGAAGUAAAGGAGACAGAUAGGAGAACAUAGUUUUAUGUAUUUCAAGUUUUUUUUUUUCUGGCACCUUCUGCCCUAUACGAAGUUUUCACUGAAUGUAUUACACAGAUACUUUUGCGAAGAUAUUUAAUUACAAAAGAUAUAUGUU